This 315-nucleotide ribosomal RNA is filed under the name uncultured Glomus. Its description in RNAcentral is "partial 18S ribosomal RNA". The record is from RNAcentral. Lineage: Eukaryota; Fungi; Glomeromycota; Glomeromycetes; Glomerales; Glomeraceae.
CGUAAGGCGCCGAAUGAGUCAUUAAAAAAUUAACAUCAUCCGAUCCCUAGUCGGCAUAGUUUAUGGUUAAGACUACGACGGUAUCUGAUCGUCUUCGAUCCCCUAACUUUCGUUCUUGAUUAAUGAAAACAUCCUUGGCAAAAUGCUUUUCGCAGUAGUUAGUCUUCAAUAAAUCCAAGAAUUUCACCUCUGACAAUUGAAUACUAAUCGCCCCCAACUAUCCUUAUUAAUCAUUACGUCGAUCCUAAGAAACCAACAAAAUAGAAUCAAACGUCCUAUUUCAUUAUUCCAUGCUAAUGUAUUCAAGCGUGAGCC